GACGUAGGGCGCGAGCGUUGUCCGGAUUUAUUGGGCGUAAAGAGCUCGUAGGCGGCUUGUCGCGUCGAAUGUGAAAUCUCCGGGCUCAACCCGGAGGGGCCACCCGAUACUGCUGUGACUCGAGUCCGGUAGGGGAGUGGGGAAUUCCUGGUGUAGCGGUGAAAUGCGCAGAUAUCAGGAGGAACACCGGUGGCGAAGGCGGCCUGCUGGGCAGUUUAGCUGACACUGAGGCGCGACAGCGUGGGGAGCAAACAGG
RNAcentral lists this ribosomal RNA (256 nucleotides) under uncultured bacterium. RNAcentral describes it as "partial 16S ribosomal RNA". It matches the Rfam family "Bacterial small subunit ribosomal RNA", at positions 524 to 776 of the family's 1533-position model. The record is from RNAcentral.